This is a long non-coding RNA of Gossypium raimondii (Peruvian cotton), 791 nucleotides long. RefSeq lists it as uncharacterized. NCBI's taxonomy places the organism in Eukaryota, Viridiplantae, Streptophyta, Magnoliopsida, Malvales, Malvaceae. The transcript has 2 exons. The record is from RefSeq and is a predicted model, not a curated record.
UUUCCCUUCCUAAAAAUUCCUUCGGUUUAGUCCUCCAAUGGGUGAUAUCAAUGAAAAUUUCUCUGAAACUGAGACAUCACAAAUAACUCAGAAUAUCAAUCAGUGAAUCACUCAAGGUGAAAUUAAUUCCUCCACUACUGCUGAUGAUGUUCUUGAUGUUCGCUUAACCAAAACACAGCUUGAGACUCUCCAUAAGAUACUUGGUACUCCCACUACUCAUGGAUCUCUAGCCACUCAAGGUGACUCCACGUUGUUUCACACCUACACUCCUUGUCAUAACAAAUCCCGAAUCCGCAUAGCUGACGGUUCUUACUCACCUGUGGCUGGAAUAGGAGAAGUACAAAUGACAGAGAGUUUUUCUCUCGAUAAAGUCCUACAUGUCCCAAACUUGUCCUGUAAUUUACUUUCAAUUAGUAAACUUACUAAGGAUGAAAAAGUUCUUGCUGAAUUUUCUGCAAUUGGUUGUGUGAUACAGGAACAGAAAUCGGGGAGGAUGAUUGGCACUGCUAAAGUUGAUGAUGGACUAUAUAUUUGGAAUAAAAACAGUACACAAGGGGGAUUGGCUCUAUCCACUUCAAAAGAGGACACUAUUAUGUUAUGGCACCGUAGGUUAGGACAUCCAAACUUUGUGUAUUUGAAAAAACAUCUUCCGCUGUUAUUUCGAAAUAAAAGUAUUAAUUCCUUGAAGUGUGAAAUUUGCCAAUUAUCUAAACAUACCCGUGUGUCAUACCCAUUAAAACCACAUAUUCAGUCCCAACCUUUUUCGUUAAUCCAUAGUGACCUAUGGGGAG